AGUGAACGCUGGCGGUAGGCCUAACACAUGCAAGUCGAACGGCAGCACAGUAAGAGCUUGCUCUUACGGGUGGCGAGUGGCGGACGGGUGAGGAAUACAUCGGAAUCUACUUUUUCGUGGGGGAUAACGUAGGGAAACUUACGCUAAUACCGCAUACGACCUACGGGUGAAAGCAGGGGAUCUUCGGACCUUUCGCGAUUGAAUGAGCCGAUGUCGGAUUAGCUAGUUGGCGGGGUAAAGGCCCACCAAGGCGACGAUCCGUAGCUGGUCUGAGAGGAUGAUCAGCCACACUGGAACUGAGACACGGUCCAGACUCCUACGGGAGGCAGCAGUGGGGAAUAUUGGACAAUGGGCGCAAGCCUGAUCCAGCCAUACCGCGUGGGUGAAGAAGGCCUUCGGGUUGUAAAGCCCUUUUGUUGGGAAAGAAAAGCAGCAGGUUAAUAACCCGCUGUUCUGACGGUACCCAAAGAAUAAGCACCGGCUAACUUCGUG
This 492-nucleotide ribosomal RNA is filed under the name uncultured bacterium. RNAcentral's name for it is "partial 16S ribosomal RNA". It matches the Rfam family "Bacterial small subunit ribosomal RNA", at positions 29 to 507 of the family's 1533-position model. The record is from RNAcentral.